UAGCUCAGUUGGUAGAGCAUGGUGUUUGCAACGCCAGGGUUGUGGGUUUCGAUUCCCAC
Molecule: non-coding RNA, 59 nt
Organism: Salmo salar (Atlantic salmon)
Lineage: Eukaryota; Metazoa; Chordata; Actinopteri; Salmoniformes; Salmonidae
Source: Rfam